Long non-coding RNA from Gadus chalcogrammus (walleye pollock), 1205 nucleotides. RefSeq lists it as uncharacterized. NCBI's taxonomy places the organism in Eukaryota, Metazoa, Chordata, Actinopteri, Gadiformes, Gadidae. The transcript has 2 exons. The record is from RefSeq and is a predicted model, not a curated record.
CAAAGCAAAGAGGUGCAGAGGAAGCUAUCUCAGCUUCAGUUGGAAGAACUCACAAGAAGAGAAAAAGAGAAGAAAAAACAGGCGGUUGUUUCAGAGCCGGUUGAAACAAUAUUGCAAGCCGCCCAGCAGGGCGCACCACAAACCCAACCUCCUCAACAGGCAUUCUUUACCUCAGUACAACAGCCUCAGAGCCAAUGGUCACCCACUCCAUCAUUCAUAUACACCAUUCAGAUACACCUACAUAAUACUGGGAACCUAACAAAUGGGAAUAGGCGGAAUCAGAAUAAGGGGCCCAAAGGUCAGUAUAUAAACAAUUUACAACAAGGACACCAAGGACAGUUUAGAAACAAUCAACAACAAGGAUCCCAAGGACAACGCAGAGGUCCUUUAAUAUGCUAUGGGUGCAACAUGGAAGGACAUAUUAGGAGGAAUUGUUUGGCUAACCCUUAUCCACCACAGCAAGGACAGGGUAACAGCUAUCAGGGAAGGCAGGAACAAGGAGGUAGCUACCAGGCAGGUCCCUUUAUGGGACAGGGAUACUAGGGGUGCUCAGAGAAUCCACAGGGGGAGGGUCAGCUUGUAGCGAUCACAAAACAAGCUGAUGAGGAACCAAUACUGCAGGUUCUGAUAAAUUGUAGAGGCAUGCCAAUGAUGGAUGACACUGGAGCCACUCACACUUGCAGAAAACAUAGAAACACCACUGGGAUUGGUGAUUCUGUGGCUCUUGGAGACUCUGCAUCGCGUCGGAACACCAUGUGGUAUAGAUCAUUACAUCUUGGUACACAGAGCACUGGUGAGACAACAGGUUGGAUCAGAGGGAGAAGGUGUUUGGAGAAGGGAGAGGAAUGUAAUGACAGCAAAAAGGGCAGAUGCGGACCUACGCAGAGGUAAUAAAUCAGCGGAGAGGAGGCUGGGGGUCCGUUUAGCUCAGGAAGUAGAGGGUGUCUUGUAACCGAAAGGUUGCUAGUUCGAUCCCCAUCUCCUCCUAGCUGAGUGUUGAUGUGUCCCUGAGUAAGUUACAUGGUGAUCACAGGAUUUAGGAAUAAUUAUCUAGACUCCAAAACAUGAGCAAUUAGCGUUAAAAAUUGUCUGCACACCACACUCCACAGGAGUCAAUGGGUUCAAUGGCGCCAGGGUAAAGUGACUCAUCAAAAGAGGAGCGGACCCAACCCAUGGACUCUGCGUGGAUAGGUGGAUGUUAUUUU